UACGUAGGGUGCGAGCGUUGUCCGGAAUUAUUGGGCGUAAAGAGCUCGUAGGCGGCUUGUCGCGUCGGAUGUGAAAGCCCGGGGCUUAACUCCGGGUCUGCAUUCGAUACGGGCAGGCUAGAGUUCGGUAGGGGAGAUCGGAAUUCCUGGUGUAGCGGUGAAAUGCGCAGAUAUCAGGAGGAACACCGGUGGCGAAGGCGGAUCUCUGGGCCGGUACAGACACUAAAGCACGAAAGCAUGGGGAGCAAACAGG
RNAcentral lists this ribosomal RNA (253 nucleotides) under uncultured bacterium. Its description in RNAcentral is "partial 16S ribosomal RNA". It matches the Rfam family "Bacterial small subunit ribosomal RNA", at positions 524 to 776 of the family's 1533-position model. The record is from RNAcentral.